AUAGGUAUGCUUAGGGAAGAGCUUGCGUCACAUUAGUUAGUUGGUGGGGUAAUGGCCUACCAAGACGAUGAUGUGUAGCCGGGCUGAGAGGUCGAACGGCCACAUUGGGACUGAGACACGGCCCAAACUCCUACGGGAGGCAGCAGUAAGGAAUUUUCGGCAAUGGAGGAAACUCUGACCGAGCAAUGCCGCGUGAACGAUGAAGUAUUUCGGUACGUAAAGUUCUUUUAUUAGGGAAGAAAAGAUGGUGGAAAAACCAUUAUGACGGUACCUAAUGAAUAAGCCCCGGCUAACUAUGUGCCAGCAGCCGCGGUAAUACAUAGGGGGCAAGCGUUAUCCGGAAUUAUUGGGCGUAAAGGGUGCGUAGGCGGUUAAAUAAGUUUAUGGUCUAAGUGCAACGCUCAACGUUGUGAUGCUAUAAAAACUGUUUAGCUAGAGUUGGAUAGAGGCAAGUGGAAUUCCGUGUGUAGUGGUAAAAUGCGUAAAUAUACGGAGGAACACCAGAAGCGAAGGCGGCUUGCUGGGUCUUAACUGACGCUGAGGCACGAAAGCGUGGGGAGCAAACAGGAUUAGAUACCCUGGUAGUCCACGCCCUAAACGAUGAGUACUAAACGUUGGAUAAAACCAGUGUUGAAGUUAACACAUUAAGUACUCCGCCUGAGUAGUACGUACGCAAGUAUGAAACUUAAAGGAAUUGACGGGACUCCGCACAAGCGGUGGAUCAUGUUGUUUAAUUCGAAGGUACCCGAAAAACCUCACCAGGUCUUGACAUGCUUUUGCAAAGCUGUAGAAAUACAGUGGAGGUUAUCAGAAGCACAGGUGGUGCAUGGUUGUCGUCAGCUCGUGUCGUGAGAUGUUGGGUUAAGUCCCGCAACGAGCGCAACCCUUGUUGUUAAUUGCCAUCAUUAAGUUGGGGACUUUAGCAAGACUGCCAAUGAUAAAUUGGAGGAAGGUGGGGACGACGUCAAAUCAUCAUGCCCCUUAUGACCUGGGCUACAAACGUGAUACAAUGGCUGUUACAAAGGGUAGCUAAAGCGUAAGCUUCUGGCGAAUCUCAAAAAAGCAGUCUCAGUUCGGAUUGAAGUCUGCAACUCGACUUCAUGAAGUUGGAAUCGCUAGUAAUCGCGAAUCAG
RNAcentral lists this ribosomal RNA (1133 nucleotides) under Candidatus Phytoplasma solani. RNAcentral's name for it is "bacterial SSU rRNA". It matches the Rfam family "Bacterial small subunit ribosomal RNA", at positions 209 to 1352 of the family's 1533-position model. The record is from RNAcentral. Lineage: Bacteria; Bacillati; Mycoplasmatota; Mollicutes; Acholeplasmatales; Acholeplasmataceae.